This is a long non-coding RNA of Glycine soja, 234 nucleotides long. RefSeq lists it as uncharacterized. The transcript is spliced from 2 exons. The record is from RefSeq and is a predicted model, not a curated record. Lineage: Eukaryota; Viridiplantae; Streptophyta; Magnoliopsida; Fabales; Fabaceae.
GUUCUUCAAGGGUGCAGUGAACAAAGUUAUGCCAUAAGGAUCAUUCUCUGUUAAAUUUAAAGAAAUAAAAUUUUACAUAUUGAUCUUAAUAAUGUUCAUUUUGGGACUUAAAUAUAUGGACUACUUUUUUUUGGAAAUGAGACUGAAGCAAGAACAUUUUCUAAAGCUCAAGGCUGGGAGACUGAUAAUGUUGAGGAAAUAGCUUUGAAGAUUUCUCACUUGCCAAAAGCAUCA